RNAcentral lists this long non-coding RNA (451 nucleotides) under Fukomys damarensis (Damara mole-rat). Its description in RNAcentral is "lncRNA (ENSFDAG00000024787.1)". Lineage: Eukaryota; Metazoa; Chordata; Mammalia; Rodentia; Bathyergidae. The record is from RNAcentral.
GGCUCCGAUUCACGCAAGAAUAUUGCCUAUUAGUUACGGUAUGGUUCAGUGGGAAAAUGGAGUCCAAAAUUAAAUUAUAUUUCACUAGACUGUAACACAAUCAAACCUUGAUUUUUGCGCACCACUUAUGUUAUUUCCCUUUUUCAUUUUAAUCUUUUCAGCAUUUUUUAUAAGAUUAUAACACCUCAGGAGACUUAUAUACCAGACUUCCAUAUAAGCAACGCAUGUUUCAAGUUCCAUUUGGCCUCUCUGAGAUGAGAAACUGAGACCAUAGACUUGGUCAGCACUGGAUCACCCAUCCAUCCAUCAUCACAAAGCCCAGCACAGUGACUACUUACUGUAUUAUUAUUAUUGUUGUUGUUAUUAUUAUUAUUAUUAUUUAGUACCAGGGAUGGAACUCUGGACCUUGAGCUUGUGAGGCAGGCUGCUGCACCGCUGAGCUAAAUCCCUG